UACGGGGGGGGCAAGCGUUGUUCGGAAUUACUGGGCGUAAAGGGCUCGUAGGCGGCCAACUAAGUCCGACGUGAAAUCCCAAGGCUUAACCUUGGAACUGCGUCGGAUACUGGAUGGCUUGAAUUCGGGAGAGGGAUGCAGAAUUCCAGGUGUAGCGGUGAAAUGCGUAGAUAUCUGGAGGAAUACCGGUGGCGAAGGCGGCAUCCUGGACCGACAUUGACGCUGAGGAGCGAAAGCUAAGGGAGCAAACGGG
This 253-nucleotide ribosomal RNA is filed under the name uncultured bacterium. RNAcentral describes it as "partial 16S ribosomal RNA". It matches the Rfam family "Bacterial small subunit ribosomal RNA", at positions 524 to 776 of the family's 1533-position model. The record is from RNAcentral.